UAUAUUUCAAGUUAAAGUCCAUUUAUUUUUUUAAAUUAACUUCAAUAGCCCCUGUACCUGCUGCACAGCGCUGCCGCAAGGCAGCACUGGCAGGGUCGCCAUGCAAUGUGCGGCUUAGGGGAGACUGAUUGAAAGAGAGUUGUCUCUGCGAA
Molecule: long non-coding RNA, 152 nt
Organism: Aricia agestis (brown argus)
Lineage: Eukaryota; Metazoa; Arthropoda; Insecta; Lepidoptera; Lycaenidae
Exons: 3
Source: RefSeq, a predicted model, not a curated record